Non-coding RNA from Phoenix dactylifera (date palm), 2805 nucleotides. The record is from RefSeq and is a predicted model, not a curated record. NCBI's taxonomy places the organism in Eukaryota, Viridiplantae, Streptophyta, Magnoliopsida, Arecales, Arecaceae.
GAAUAGAUCAGAAGGAGUAAUAUGGAUUAGGCACCAAUAUGUCCUAAUUGUGAAAUUGUUUAUGCAACACUCCAAUUAUAUUAUAGCACGACGGAAGAGAAACCCUAGAUUAGUAGUUGCCACCGUCCUCGAUCUCGCGCGAGCUUCCUUCGAAACUCUCUCUAGGGUUUAGGGUUUCAGAUAUUCGUAUUGGAUUGAGAUGCCAAGGCCGGGGAUCCGGGCUCCGCCGGAUAUCUCCGACGGCGACUCCGAGGGUCGCUAGCGUGCGGUUUCCUUUCGUGAGUCGAAAUCCGUGUAGCAUUCCUUCCCUUCUUCUUCUUUCUCGAUGCUUUUCUCGAGUUUCUACUUGAUUUGUUCUUUGUUUAUGGCUUUUCGCGAAGAUCUCGGCGAAAGCAUUGUAGCUUCGGCCUUCGUGUUCCGUCGAGCGAUGGAAUUCCCUCGCUUUUGCUCGAUAUCCAUGAAGUCUACUCUUUUUUCUUUUCCUUGCCUCCUAUUAUUAUUAGUGUGCUUAAUUUUUUGGAACGGUUUGUUGGCUAAAAGAUAACUAUCAAUGUGUUUAAUUUUUUCGAAUGGUUUGUUAGUUAAAAGAUCAUAACUAAUUGCAAAUAUUUGGGCUUUGAAGCAGUUGGUUUGAAUGCGCUGAAUCUGAAAGAUGGAUUUUGAAAUAGUUCGGUUUUUUGGAAAUCAUGUAUCCUGAAGGCGUAUAUUUUGUCUCGGAGGUUACUGGUCACAUCCUUCGGAAAAAUUAAAAAACAAGACUAGUCUAUUGUCAGAACAAUAAGUGGCAAACAAUGGCACAAACUUUUGCAUGCUGAAAAUUCUUGCAGGAAAAAAUGUUACAUAGGAAAAAAUUUUGAAUGUUUUCUUUAGUUUAUUCCUUUGGUCUCUUUCUUCGUUCGUUAGUCUGUGGUUUGGGACGUGGUGGUGGGGUCCUAUUGAGGAUGGGAACCAUUAGAUCAGCUAUUUCGCAAUCAAUGCUUAGUACAAGAGUUGCUCUGUUGCUUGUAUUUUGUUUGUUUGUCCUUUUCAUUUGUUGUUCAUCUUAAUGUUCAAUUGGCAGCCGGUGUCGCACCGGAGCGUGAAGGAUGACAAUCUUAUGCUUCCUGAUAUUGGUAAGAUACAGCUCUUAGUUGCUGAUCCAGUUUCCUUUGACUGUAAUUGGAGACUGUCAUAUCUCGGCCUGAUGAAUCUACAACAGCGGGAUAAUUUGAAAUCUAUAUACUGAAUUUACUCAAUAAAGGCUGCAUUUUUUACCAAAGUUGGCUGUGGAAAAGCUGAAGGUGAAAGUGGGUGCUGGAGAAUGAACAGAUGGGAAGACAAGGGCACGUCAUACCUACUGACACAAAAUGCACAGCAUUCAAAUGCAAGGCUUAUCGACAGCUGCCUUUUAAGCAAGAUGCUAGCUGAGUGAGUGGCCAUACGUCAGAAGUCAAGAAAGCAUCAACGUGCAUAGGUGCGGUAUUGUUACAAUAGCAGUUAGAUGCUGAUUUGGUCUGCCUAGUUGCCAUCGGAAUUCUUCCCAUUAAAGUUGAAAUAACCUGCACCAAAGCACUUCAAUUUGACACCCAGCUCAAUAAGACUGAUCUAUGCUGGACGGACAUAAGCCAUCUCUUGUUCCUGAUAUGGCUUGCCUGCUUCAUUGCACCGCACAGUUUGGGUUCAUCAGCUUAAUCAUUUUGUUGUUGGGUUCUUUUUGCCCCUGAUCAAGUGGCUCAGUUGUAAGGUCGAUAUCAUGAGGUCCCACGCUGUAGGGAUUGCAUUUUAGGAUGUCAUAAGAAGUCUAUAUUCCUUUUUGUUAAGUUUCCAUCAUGCAGGUUUUUUUUUACUCAGGAGCUGGAAAUAUUUUGGAAGUAUGGACUGGUAUCGUUCUCUACUUUUGCCGAACAGGGUUGGAAGUUUCUUUCUGUUUCCUUUUAUUGUGCUCUCUUGAUUCAUUCAAGAACUUGUAAGGCUACGUUUUCACAAUCAAAAUUGACGUGAAUUAUACUGUGAUCUCACCAUUCAAUGUUGAACGAUUUCUCCAAGACAUCCUGGACAUUUGUAGGUUCUUAUUAUUAUGUUAUUGUGAAUAGUCAAUAGCCGCCAAGGAAGACAAAGCUAUGUUUUUUGGAUUGGGUUGCUGAUGCUGCGGCACCAUGAUCCUGAUGUGGUGCCUGCUAAUCGGGUGGUGGUUGUGAAGUUCUGUUGUUUGUUUUAUUGCUGUUGAUUGCAUCUGCAUUCUAGAAAGAAGUGUACCUGCUGGGGCCCAUGUUCGUUUGCGUGUGAAAGAUUGCAGGAUGGUGCGGGUGUUGGCUCAAGUAAUACCCAUUUUGGUUGCUUGUGUGGCUAUGCUAUGUCGGUAUGUUGGGAGCGCGACGGACUCCGGGUUAUUGUCAACCUGCAACUGGAUCUUAAAAAGCAUUGUGAGGUCGGGGAAAACGGAUGUCAACUACGGAAUAAAUGAGGAUUCGUAGGAGGAUGGGAUUCUGGAGCCCCCUGGAGAGAAUGUUCGGGAGAUAAAUUGGUUGGUAAAAAUAGCUGUAGGUGAGAAAAAGGUACAGCGUUGUGAAUGGCUCGCUGGGAAGAUUUGCUAGCUUAUAGUAGCUCGACUAGGUCCUGUUUGGCUCGCCAGCAAUGAUUACUUGUUGCAUGAAUGCCAUUCUUAUAUUUCUCUUGUUUGAUUAUUUUAUUCACUCGUGGGCGAUGUAACUAUUAUUUGGUGGUCGACAGCAUGAAGUCAUGCGUCCUGGAAGUCUGAUGUCAGAUGUCUUAACAAUUGUGACCUUGUCAUGUAUGUUAUUGAAGCUUAUAUAGCUAAUAUGGAUA